GGCGGGGUGCCGGAGUGGUUUAACGGGCUGGUCUCGAAAACCAUGCGUCCCGCAAGGGGCACAGAGGUUCAAAUCCUCUCCCCGCCGCCA
Molecule: transfer RNA, 90 nt
Filed under: Candidatus Berkelbacteria bacterium
Lineage: Bacteria; Candidatus Berkelbacteria
Description: tRNA-Ser
Rfam family: tRNA
About the family: Transfer RNA (tRNA) molecules are approximately 80 nucleotides in length.
Source: RNAcentral